Molecule: long non-coding RNA, 1141 nt
Organism: Bos taurus (domestic cattle)
Lineage: Eukaryota; Metazoa; Chordata; Mammalia; Artiodactyla; Bovidae
Source: Ensembl
GAAGAACUUGAGUGACAAUGUAAGAUGAUUCGACUUUUUCCAAUAGACAGCAGGAGCCACGGAAUGGUUGUGAGCAGGAGAGCACAAUCCCACAGGUAGCAUUUUGCCAAGUCUCGCCCACGAUGUCGGUCCAACCAUAUCUUCUCAUCUUCCAAGUGCAUCCCCAGCUCCGAUUUUACUCCUUGAAGACGCAGUCAAGACCUGCCUCCCCCACGAAGCCCCUUUCUGAUGACUGCAGCCGGUAGGCAGGUCCCUUUCUCUGGCCUCCUGCUGUUCUCGUUUAUGCUGACCCGUUUCAUGUCUGCCGUGUCUUACUUGUGUUUUCCGACCAGACUGAAGUCAGAGUUCAUGUCUUGCCCUUCAGAUAACAUCAUUGAGAUCGAAGUUAGAGCUCUGUGACAUUCACAAAUCCUACCUCUGAUUCGGGCUUUUCAAAGUGACAUCUGAGAGACUUGAAGAAAAGAUUCCUCUUGAGAUCCCCAGGUCCCAGUCGUUGGAAACCUGGCAACGAGCUGCCAGGUCAUGGUGAAGAGGAACAUUCUAGAUUGGCUUGUCAUCACUCGUGACUGUCUGAAAGCUCAGCCACUGGGGCAAACAGUCCUGGGAUAGGCCAUCCCUGCCCCACAGCAAAAGGAGUUUGGUCCUUGAGGGAAACUUGGAAAGCACAGAAUGAUACCAAUAACAUAGAAAUAAUCUCUAAUCCUGCCAGACAAAAAGUAGCAUCGCUAACCUUGGUGUGCUUUCCAGACUCCCAGCCCCACGCACUCAGGUAGACAGAUAGUCUGUCCUUGUUGAGAUCACGCUAUAUGCUGAGUUGGGUAACCUACUCUUUUCACAGAUAAUUACACCACGGUUGCUAAAACUCCUCCUGAAUAUAUUUAUGAAGUUUCAUCCCCAGGAACAGACUUUGAGAUGCGCGUUGGUGUGCAGGGUAUUUCUUAGGUGGAGACCUUGAAAUCAGCAGCUGCAGAAAGGGAGAGAAGGAGGCAGGAUGAGACAGAGGGAGCGGCUGAACUGGGAUGUAGGUGGGCUUCCAAGCCGGGUCUGGCCGCCCGCCCCUCGAAAGUUGAUGCUCAGGAGACAAGGGUUGGUAGCUAAGGAAAGGUUGCUUCUUUUAGGAAGCUGACAACCUGGGGAGAAG